This 27-nucleotide non-coding RNA is filed under the name Mus musculus (house mouse). Lineage: Eukaryota; Metazoa; Chordata; Mammalia; Rodentia; Muridae. The record is from RNAcentral.
CACACAGUGCUCCUGAGAAUGGGCUUC